Molecule: ribosomal RNA, 383 nt
Filed under: Pelobates cultripes (western spadefoot toad)
Lineage: Eukaryota; Metazoa; Chordata; Amphibia; Anura; Pelobatidae
Description: SSU_rRNA_microsporidia
Rfam family: Eukaryotic small subunit ribosomal RNA
Source: RNAcentral
UGGAAGCAGCAAUGGAGGAGGAGGAUGAGGUAGCCAACACUGUAUAUAUAUAUAAUUUUUUUAAUUGGGGUAGCCCCCAAAAUAUUGGGACCUAUAAAAAAAGACAACUCUGUUCCGCAGAGUAGCUGUUGACAUUAUAGUUGCGCAGGCACUUUGUUGACUCUAGAGAACCUUGGGCCAAUCACACAUCCCCAUGGCGGCAACUUUGCAUGCGGAUGUCAUCCAUAUCAACUUUCGAUGCCAGUUUCUGCGCCUACCAUGGUGACCACGGGUAACAGGGAAUCAGGGUUCCAUUCCGUACAGGGACCCUGAGAAAUGGCAACCACAUGCAAGAAAGGCAGCAGGCACGCAAAUGCCCCACUCCCGACUCGGGAAGUUAGUGA